CCUACGGGUGACAGCAGUGGGGAAUAUUGGGCAAUGGGCGCAAGCCUGACCCAGCAACGCCGCGUGAAGGAAGAAGGCUUUCGGGUUGUAAACUUCUUUUGUCAGGGACGAAGCAAGUGACGGUACCUGACGAAUAAGCCACGGCUAACUACGUGCCAGCAGCCGCGGUAAUCCGUCGGUCGCAAGCGUUAUCCGGAUUUACUGGGUGUAAGGGUCGUGUAGGCGGGACUGCAAGUCAGAUGUGAAAACCACGGGCUCAACCUGUGGCCUGCAUUUGAAACUGUAGUUCUUGAGUACUGGAGAGGCAGGCGGAAUGCGUAGUGUAGCGGUGAAAUGCGUAGAUAUUAGGAGGAACACCAGUGGCGAAGGCGGUCUGCUGGAGAGCAACUGACGCUGAGGCGCGAAAGCGUGGGGAGCGAACAGGAUUAGAUACCCGUGUAGUC
RNAcentral lists this ribosomal RNA (443 nucleotides) under uncultured bacterium. RNAcentral describes it as "partial 16S ribosomal RNA". It matches the Rfam family "Bacterial small subunit ribosomal RNA", at positions 338 to 795 of the family's 1533-position model. The record is from RNAcentral.